Molecule: long non-coding RNA, 521 nt
Organism: Gopherus flavomarginatus (Mexican gopher tortoise)
Lineage: Eukaryota; Metazoa; Chordata; Testudines; Testudinidae
Exons: 2
Source: RefSeq, a predicted model, not a curated record
AUGAUAACUUCACUGAGCGAUCCAAGUCAUUUAUCAAAAGCCAUUGGCAAAAAUAUGUCUCUAUUGAGCCAGGCUAGGUUAGGUGAACUAGAAGUGAAAGAUACUGUAUCUAGUUACACUAUUUAUUAAUAUAUUAUGUAUUAAUGCUUUAUUAUCACCACCACAGUAAUAUCUACAGGCUCCAAUCAAGAUGGGGACCUCAGUGUGCAAGAAUCCACCACUUGUCUUUUGAUGACAGCUGCUGACCAGAAAGAGUUCCUGGACUUAAGGUGGCAUCUUGGAGGUGACUGGAGAUCUGCAUAGAUGGGCAAAUCUGGGUUCAUUAUCAUGCAAUCCUAUUCUAAUAUUAUUACUGCUUCUCUUCAGAGGAAUAGAUAAAAGAGUUAUGAAAACUACAUAAGUAAAAAUGCACAAAACUUUCCCACCAUACACCGGCUACUCUGAAUUUAUUGCAGCAUCCCUAAGCAGAUUGAAUGGCAAAAUGGUACUAUUACUUCUGAUUAUAAACUGACUGCAUAAGA